NNNGGAAUAGCUCAGUUGGUAGAGCACGACCUUGCCAAGGUCGGGGUCGCGAGUUCGAGUCUCGUUUCCCGCUCCA
RNAcentral lists this transfer RNA (76 nucleotides) under Escherichia coli. RNAcentral's name for it is "tRNA-Gly". It matches the Rfam family "tRNA". Rfam says of the family: Transfer RNA (tRNA) molecules are approximately 80 nucleotides in length. Their secondary structure includes four short double-helical elements and three loops (D, anti-codon, and T loops). Further hydrogen bonds mediate the characteristic L-shaped molecular structure. tRNAs have two regions of fundamental functional importance: the anti-codon, which is responsible for specific mRNA codon recognition, and the 3' end, to which the tRNAs corresponding amino acid is attached (by aminoacyl-tRNA synthetases). tRNAs cope with the degeneracy of the genetic code in two manners: having more than one tRNA (with a specific anti-codon) for a particular amino acid; and 'wobble' base-pairing, i.e. permitting non-standard base-pairing at the 3rd anti-codon position. The record is from RNAcentral. Lineage: Bacteria; Pseudomonadati; Pseudomonadota; Gammaproteobacteria; Enterobacterales; Enterobacteriaceae.